GGGACCAUGGGAAUGAUAGUUGGGAAGAA
Molecule: non-coding RNA, 29 nt
Filed under: Cricetulus griseus (Chinese hamster)
Lineage: Eukaryota; Metazoa; Chordata; Mammalia; Rodentia; Cricetidae
Source: RNAcentral